GGGGAUAUAGCUCACCGGGUAGAGCGCUACCUUCGCAUGGGAGAGGUCUGGGGUUCAAUUCCCCAUAUCUCCA
Toxocara canis (dog roundworm) is the source of this 73-nucleotide transfer RNA. It matches the Rfam family "tRNA". Rfam says of the family: Transfer RNA (tRNA) molecules are approximately 80 nucleotides in length. Their secondary structure includes four short double-helical elements and three loops (D, anti-codon, and T loops). Further hydrogen bonds mediate the characteristic L-shaped molecular structure. tRNAs have two regions of fundamental functional importance: the anti-codon, which is responsible for specific mRNA codon recognition, and the 3' end, to which the tRNAs corresponding amino acid is attached (by aminoacyl-tRNA synthetases). tRNAs cope with the degeneracy of the genetic code in two manners: having more than one tRNA (with a specific anti-codon) for a particular amino acid; and 'wobble' base-pairing, i.e. permitting non-standard base-pairing at the 3rd anti-codon position. Lineage: Eukaryota; Metazoa; Nematoda; Chromadorea; Rhabditida; Toxocaridae. The record is from Rfam.